This is a long non-coding RNA of Cryptomeria japonica (Japanese cedar), 1579 nucleotides long. RefSeq lists it as uncharacterized. Lineage: Eukaryota; Viridiplantae; Streptophyta; Pinopsida; Cupressales; Cupressaceae. The record is from RefSeq and is a predicted model, not a curated record. The transcript has 2 exons.
CAACGAUGGUAGUUGUUAGACCAUUUUUCUCUUGAGGCAUUUUGUUAGGCCAUUCAUAUGACUAGUCUAUGCAUGAAUCUUCCUAUAAAGCUUGCUUCACAUUAAUUCGAUGAGGGAGAAAAGUGAGGAAAGCAUGGAGUUACGGACAGGAUUGGCUAGCAUCUUUCUUGCUCACACUUUUGGUGCCUUGGAAGAUCAUAGCCAUUUUGUUAGGCUUUGAAUCAGAUAAAAAGGGGGAUUUAUUCCUUCAUUUGGGAUAUAGAGAGAAAAAGCGAAGAAAAACAUCAAAAACAAUCAUAUGUUGCAGAGGGAAGAUAACAUUGAGAAUAUGUCAGUGAAUAGUAACUGUGGUAUUUAUGCGUUGCACCGGAUUUGUAUCUUUCUUUCAUUCUGUAACCAUUUCAAUUACAAGUUGGCAGUUUUAUCUACUCGAAGGUCAACAGAAAAAGUACUGAUCACUUGCAUGAACGGUGUAUCCAACAAGGUUCCAAAACAACGACAAAAAGCAGAACAGUUAAGAAAGGCGUGACAGAAAAGCUAAUCAGACGGACAUAAAAGCAAAUUGAACACCCACGAGGAGAUGCUCGAUAGACUCCAACACGUCAACACAUUUUGGAUUUCUUGAAGAAAGAGAAAGAUGAUUUUUUGAAGGAAGAAAAAGAGAUGAAAGAUUUGGAGUCUGCUUACUUGCUGGAAUGUUUUAUCAACAACACUGGUAAUUCUUCAACACAGUAAUGAAUAAACUCUUUAAAGCGACCGAUCAUCUCAUUUUCCAAGUGGCUAAUUGCCACUUCACCACCUUUAGGAUUAUUAUUCUCUAUGUCAAAGAUGUAAAAACUUAAGAUGGGGAUGCAAACCAAAUGUCGGCUCUUUUUAAGUGCCAUGUCCUUAUUGUAUCAAAAAUUUUCCUUGUCAUCUCUCAAGAAGAUCAUAAUCACCACUAUAAUGGAGGCUACUAAUAAAAAAAGUAAUACGAACAUCCAAGAUAGAAGUAGCAUUGCAAGGAUUUGAACCACAUACCAAAAACACCCACACAUGCAGGAAUCGAUGCUUUUUUAAAUUCUUUGAAUUCUUGUCACUCAUUGUGAAAUAUGUAGACAAAUUCCUAGACAGAAUGCAUGGAUACCUAGGGCAUGUGGUUAAGUGUCUUUGGUAUGUGGUUCAAAUCCUUGCAUUAUUACUUCUAUUUUGGAUGUUUGUAUUACUUUCUUUAUUAGUAGCCCCCAUUAUGAUGGUGAUUAUGUUCCUUUUGAGAGAUGACUUGGAGAUUUUUGGAUAUAAUAAGGACAUAACACUUAAGAAGCCGGCAUUUUGUCUACAUCCCCAUCUUAGGUUUUUACAUCUUUUACAUAGAGAAUAAUAAUCCUCAAGGCGGUGAGGCGGCAAUCAGUUGCUUGGAAAAUGAGAUGAUUGGUUGCUUUAGAGAGCUUAUUCAUUGUUGUGUUAAGGAAUUACCAAACGACCUAAUGGAUUCAAAGUAAAAGUUAUGUCAUCUGCCUUGUUCUCAAUUAAUGUAUCAAACUUUGUAAUUAAUUAUUUAAGCUAUUUUUUAAUAAUAGGUAAAUGUUUCUUAGUGUAA